This 253-nucleotide ribosomal RNA is filed under the name uncultured bacterium. RNAcentral's name for it is "partial 16S ribosomal RNA". It matches the Rfam family "Bacterial small subunit ribosomal RNA", at positions 524 to 776 of the family's 1533-position model. The record is from RNAcentral.
UACGAAGGGUGCAAGCGUUAAUCGGAAUUACUGGGCGUAAAGCGUGCGUAGGCGGUUGUUUAAGUCUGCUGUGAAAUCCCCGGGCUCAACCUGGGAAUGGCAGUGGAUACUGGACAGCUAGAGUGUGUCAGAGGAUGGUGGAAUUCCCGGUGUAGCGGUGAAAUGCGUAGAGAUCGGGAGGAACAUCAGUGGCGAAGGCGGCCAUCUGGGACAACACUGACGCUGAGGCACGGAAGCGUGGGGAGCAAACAGG